GAUGAACGCUGGCGGCGUGCCUAAUACAUGCAAGUCGAGCGAACGGAUGAGAAGCUUGCUUCUCUGAUGUUAGCGGCGGACGGGUGAGUAACACGUGGAUAACCUACCUAUAAGACUGGGAUAACUUCGGGAAACCGGAGCUAAUACCGGAUAAUAUUUUGAACCGCAUGGUUCAAAAGUGAAAGACGGUCUUGCUGUCACUUAUAGAUGGAUCCGCGCUGCAUUAGCUAGUUGGUAAGGUAACGGCUUACCAAGGCAACGAUGCAUAGCCGACCUGAGAGGGUGAUCGGCCACACUGGAACUGCGACACGGUCCAGACUCCUACGGGAGGCAGCAGUAGGGAAUCUUCCGCAAUGGGCGAAAGCCUGACGGAGCAACGCCGCGUGAGUGAUGAAGGUCUUCGGAUCGUAGAACUCUGUUAUUAGGGAAGAACAUAUGUGUAAGUAACUGUGCACAUCUUGACGGUACCUAAUCAGAAAGCCACGGCUAACUACGUG
RNAcentral lists this ribosomal RNA (497 nucleotides) under uncultured bacterium. RNAcentral describes it as "partial 16S ribosomal RNA". It matches the Rfam family "Bacterial small subunit ribosomal RNA", at positions 28 to 507 of the family's 1533-position model. The record is from RNAcentral.